Molecule: ribosomal RNA, 1144 nt
Filed under: Bacteroides fragilis
Lineage: Bacteria; Pseudomonadati; Bacteroidota; Bacteroidia; Bacteroidales; Bacteroidaceae
Description: bacterial SSU rRNA
Rfam family: Bacterial small subunit ribosomal RNA
Source: RNAcentral
UAGCCUGAACCAGCCAAGUAGCGUGAAGGAUGAAGGCUCUAUGGGUCGUAAACUUCUUUUAUAUAAGAAUAAAGUGCAGUAUGUAUACUGUUUUGUAUGUAUUAUAUGAAUAAGGAUCGGCUAACUCCGUGCCAGCAGCCGCGGUAAUACGGAGGAUCCGAGCGUUAUCCGGAUUUAUUGGGUUUAAAGGGAGCGUAGGUGGACUGGUAAGUCAGUUGUGAAAGUUUGCGGCUCAACCGUAAAAUUGCAGUUGAUACUGUCAGUCUUGAGUACAGUAGAGGUGGGCGGAAUUCGUGGUGUAGCGGUGAAAUGCUUAGAUAUCACGAAGAACUCCGAUUGCGAAGGCAGCUCACUGGACUGCAACUGACACUGAUGCUCGAAAGUGUGGGUAUCAAACAGGAUUAGAUACCCUGGUAGUCCACACAGUAAACGAUGAAUACUCGCUGUUUGCGAUAUACAGUAAGCGGCCAAGCGAAAGCAUUAAGUAUUCCACCUGGGGAGUACGCCGGCAACGGUGAAACUCAAAGGAAUUGACGGGGGCCCGCACAAGCGGAGGAACAUGUGGUUUAAUUCGAUGAUACGCGAGGAACCUUACCCGGGCUUAAAUUGCAGUGGAAUGAUGUGGAAACAUGUCAGUGAGCAAUCACCGCUGUGAAGGUGCUGCAUGGUUGUCGUCAGCUCGUGCCGUGAGGUGUCGGCUUAAGUGCCAUAACGAGCGCAACCCUUAUCUUUAGUUACUAACAGGUCAUGCUGAGGACUCUAGAGAGACUGCCGUCGUAAGAUGUGAGGAAGGUGGGGAUGACGUCAAAUCAGCACGGCCCUUACGUCCGGGGCUACACACGUGUUACAAUGGGGGGUACAGAAGGCAGCUAGCGGGUGACCGUAUGCUAAUCCCAAAAGCCUCUCUCAGUUCGGAUCGAAGUCUGCAACCCGACUUCGUGAAGCUGGAUUCGCUAGUAAUCGCGCAUCAGCCACGGCGCGGUGAAUACGUUCCCGGGCCUUGUACACACCGCCCGUCAAGCCAUGGGAGCCGGGGGUACCUGAAGUACGUAACCGCAAGGAUCGUCCUAGGGUAAAACUGGUGACUGGGGCUAAGUCGUAACAAGGUAGCCGUACCGGAAGGUGCGGCUGGAACACCUCCUUU